UACGUAGGGAGCAAGCGUUGUCCGGAUUUAUUGGGCGUAAAGAGCUCGUAGGCGGCUUGGAAAGUCAGGUGUGAAACCUCCAGGCUCAACCUGGAGACGCCACUUGAUACUUCUAUGGCUUGAGUUCGGUAGGGGUAAGCGGAAUUCCUGGUGUAGCGGUGAAAUGCGCAGAUAUCAGGAGGAACACCGAUGGCGAAGGCAGCUUACUGGGCCGAAACUGACGCUGAGGAGCGAAAGCGUGGGGAGCGAACAGG
This 254-nucleotide ribosomal RNA is filed under the name uncultured bacterium. RNAcentral describes it as "partial 16S ribosomal RNA". It matches the Rfam family "Bacterial small subunit ribosomal RNA", at positions 524 to 776 of the family's 1533-position model. The record is from RNAcentral.